CUCCUCCUCACUGUCCUCAGCGUUGGGGGAAAAGCCAUUCCCAGCUCUGCCAUUCCAGCCGCCCCCAAGGCAUCAGCCCUCCACUCUGGAACCCCGUAAGGGACUGGUGUACAAUCCCCAGCCCGAUCCAUUUUCUAGUUUGCAGAGGAAAAUCCGGUCCGGCGUUUAUUUUUAGCAGCGCUUUCCAGUGACCGAAUGCUCCAGCUCCGGGGCUGGGAUUCUGAGGACCGCGCCGGGGAGCGGAGGGGGUGGGGAGCGCGAGGCGGCGAGAAGGGAAGGUGUGCGCAUGCGUGCCGGCACCCAUGCAAAUCCGCUGUCCAUCCAGCGAGCAAAGUGGGAUGAUCCGUCACUACACCUGCAGCACCACGCUCGGGGGACAGCUCCUGCUCGCAGCUUCCAGACCCAGGAAGCCUGAAGGGAAGGAAGGAAGCCCCAGCGAAAUCAUCAGAUUGGCUUCCCAGAUUUGGGAAUCUGAAGCGGGCCCACAUCUUCCGGCCAACUUCGAUUGAACUUCCAAGCACUCGACAGGGACCGAAAUGGAGAGCAAAGGUAUGUGGCUGUCCCCAUCCGGAGACUUCCCGGUGCAUGUGCGUGUGUGGCCCGGGCGGUCCUCGGCGGCAAGGGGACUGCAGUGCCGGGAGCCAGCAUCGUACUAGGUCGAUCGGAGGAGAUGCUAUAUCCGUUGCAGCACCGGGAAGUGUGGCAGGAAGGCCACUUCUUUUUAACUCCCACAGCUUGGAAGGCAGUGUUUAAUACUCCAUCAGUUGCGUAGUGAAGUGUGUUGAGUUUUUUUUUUUUUAGGUGGGGGGUGGCGAGGGGAGAGCCCCUUCUAAAAUGGAGGGGGAGGAGAAUGUGUUGGUAAAGCAAUAUCAUUUUUAAUGUUUGAUUGGUUUUAGGAUUGCUGACAGGUACGUUUGUAUCUGGCAUCCAACAAUGUACGGCUAAAAAAACAAUGUUUGGAUUUCUCCACCCCCCACCCCAUGAACAUGGUAUUUCUGGGUGUGUAUGAGCCCAUCUUACUGCAUUUUGAAUAGAUAUCAGCCAAAAAAUUAGGUCUAUUCGAAGCAGCGUGCGUUAGAACUGACCUCUAAGAAGAACAGUGUUAUCAGAGUACCUCUUGGCUCCCAAAGAUAAUGGAUUUACUAGUUCUGGACGUGUAGGUAUUAAUAUUCUCUUCAUAAGCAUUCUGCAUAAUGCACAUACACACCAACUGGUACAUGAGCUGUACACACCGGAUCGCAUAUUUAAUGCACAUGAUCAAAAUGACUGUUAAAAUUGUAAGGCUGGAUAUCCUUUGGCUUUAACCCUCUCCGUGCAAGUCUCUCUCCUCUGCCUCCUCCUUCUUAAAAUGCCCACCAGGCUAUGGGAGCCUCACAGGAUGUGGUCAGAUAGCCAGGAGGAAUAUUAGAUGUAUUUAAUUAUGGUGAAAUCGGAAGAAAUGAUGUCAACUUUUAUGAAACUAUAUUCAUUACCCAGAACUCGAGAAGCUAUAUUUGAAACAAGGUUUUAUUUUUAACCAGGAAUGUCAGUCUCUCUGGCAAUCUACUUGGGAUGAGGGAAUGGUGAGGAGC
This is a long non-coding RNA of Fukomys damarensis (Damara mole-rat), 1571 nucleotides long. Lineage: Eukaryota; Metazoa; Chordata; Mammalia; Rodentia; Bathyergidae. The record is from Ensembl.